This 463-nucleotide ribosomal RNA is filed under the name uncultured bacterium. Its description in RNAcentral is "partial 16S ribosomal RNA". It matches the Rfam family "Bacterial small subunit ribosomal RNA", at positions 28 to 505 of the family's 1533-position model. The record is from RNAcentral.
GACGAACGCUGGCGGCGUGCUUAACACAUGCAAGUCGUACGGUAAGGCCCUUUCGGGGGUACACGAGUGGCGAACGGGUGAGUAACACGUGAGUAACCUGCCCACAACUUUGGGGUAACGCUAGGAAACUGGUGCUAAUACUGGAUAUGUGCCCCUGCUGCAUGGUGGGGGUUGGAAAGCUCCGGCGGUUGUGGAUGGACUCGCGGCCUAUCAGCUUGUUGGUGGGGUAGUGGCCUACCAAGGCGGCGACGGGUAGCCGGCCUGCGAGGGUGACCGGCCACAUUGGGACUGAGAUACGGCCCAGACUCCGACGGGAGGCAGCAGUGGGGAAUAUUGCACAAUGGGCGCAAGCCGGAUGCAGCAACGCCGCGUGCGGGAUGACGGCCUUCGGGUUGUAAACCGCUUUCAGCAGGGACGAAGCUUUUUGUGACGGUACCUGCAGAAGAAGCACCGGCUAACUACG